Molecule: non-coding RNA, 2079 nt
Organism: Callithrix jacchus (white-tufted-ear marmoset)
Lineage: Eukaryota; Metazoa; Chordata; Mammalia; Primates; Cebidae
Source: RefSeq, a predicted model, not a curated record
GCCCCCUGCUCCAUCCCAGCUCCGCUCCCCGGGAGAAUCGAGGCCUUUGCUCACACCAGAUGGGUCGGACUGCCUCACAUGACCUCCUCUCUGGGGCUCACUUGCUAUUUCCGAAAAGGGGGAAAGGAUUUGGGGAGGACAAUCCCGGCGCCUCCUGCUGGCUUUAGGGAGAGACAGGGCUGGGCUGGAGGAGAGCCCUGAGGAGCAGGCGGAGGUGGGUUGGCGAGGACCUUGUGUGACUUGUGCCGAGAAACUUCACUUAUUCUCAGCGGUUGGCAGUUGUCAAACUACGUCUUAUAGAUGCUAAGUCACCAUAGAGGUAUCUUAGUUUGGUGACAAGGUUGGGACACCUUGAGCAAGCCUUUCUGCUGGGCUAACUGGAGGAUGUGUAGCCGUCUCUGGUCAGAGAAGAAGCCCUAUUUGCUGAAGUCUUUCUUCAACACUUUGACUCGGCCAUCCUCCCCCUCCCCAAACCUGCUGAAGACCCAGAAAAUCUCCCAGACUCUCCCAUUGCUGGUGACCGCAUCCACCAUCAGAGCCUCUGCUGGGGAAUGGAAUCCUGACUUGGUUUGGGUGUCACCGUGCCCAGACGGAAAGCUCCCUUCCUUAGCCUCUGUGCAUCUAUCUGCACGUUGACACCAUCUGGUGAAGAGUUUACCAUCUCAUGGUUUCGGGCAAAGCUUUUGCUUUUGUGGCUGAGGCAUGUUCCUUCUUUGCUUCCCUCUCUCUUGCUAGACAAACAAGAGGACAGGAGAUCAGCUAUCUGAGGCCAAAGAAUGGGGAGUGAAGCCAGGGAGAGCGCCCGCCUGGGACUGCCUCCUUUGGCGUUUGCUUUGUUUGCAAUACCGUCUCCUGGAUAGGUGCAGGCCACUGUCACUUGGGUUUUCUUUUGCUUGAGCUGAGUGUAGUCCUCAAUGACACAUGGAGGGGGCUAUGAGUGUUUGCAUGGGGGCAGAGUCCUCCUGCACCAGUGCAGCCUCAGGAAAGGCCUCUCUCAAAUCUGCCUUGUUCUCCCAUCAGGAAGCAGAGAGGAGGGGACUGGGCCAGGAAGAGAGCGUGGCCUGGAAUAUCACUCACUCAAGCAUGGGGGUCUCUGUGAGUGGACUCUGUGUGCUUCUCCUAUUCAAUCCUGAUGUCCUCAGGGGUUGGGCAUUGUCUUGCCCUCAUUUUCAGUAAGCCUAGAGUGAGGCUAGGCAUUGAGGAGGAGACAUCUGUGAGCGCACAUUCUGAUUGGUGCUCAGGUGGUCACCACCAGCUCGCAGAGAGCAGGUGGGCCAGGUUGGGGCACCCCACCACCCAUGGGAGAGCACAUAACCUAAUGCGCUAGGUGUCUGAGACCGUGUGCAUCAGUGGGUCCCGAGUCUAGGAGGUGACAGGGCAGGGAGGAUGCCUCAUCCUCAAACCACAGUGGGCCUUUCAGGUUCACUUUUGUUUUUGAAAUGGAGUGUUGUUCUGUCUCCCAGGCUGGAGUGCAGUGGUGUGAUCUUGGCUCACUGCAACCUCUGCCUCCCGUGUUCAACUGAUUCUCCUACCUGUGCCUCCUGAGUAGCUGGGAUUAUAAGUGCGCACUACAGCACCCAGCUAUUUUUUGAAUUUUUUUUUUUAGUAGAGAUGGGGUUUCACCCUGUUGGCCAGGCUGGUCUUGAACUUCUGACCUCAGGUGAUUGUCUGCCUCAGCCUCCCACAGUGUUGGGGUUACAGGCCUGAGCCACCGCGCUGGGCCAGGCUCACAUUUUGGUUAGAAGUGCAUUAGGGAGUCUCCCACAGUGCAGAGAGAGAGAAGAGGGAGGAGCUAACACGUCUUGCCUGACUACUGUGUCCCCAUCAGGACUCAGCAUGUUCCUGCAGCCACCCAGAGAUGUGGUUACUAAAAUUGCCGUGGCAGAGGUAAAGCAAGGAAGAAGUAAAUCGCCCAGACAUCGGAGGGAAGAGGCCGCACAUUCGACCCACCUCCAACAGGGAAGCCACUGUGCUUUCCGUAGCAGCUGGGACACAAUGGUGAAAAUUCCAUUUCACAGACUGGCUCCUGGGAAAUUCUAAGCAAUUGAACUGGAUAAUAAAAUUGGUGUUUUAAAUCUU